This is a long non-coding RNA of Balaenoptera ricei (Rice's whale), 2710 nucleotides long. RefSeq lists it as uncharacterized. The record is from RefSeq and is a predicted model, not a curated record. Lineage: Eukaryota; Metazoa; Chordata; Mammalia; Artiodactyla; Balaenopteridae. The transcript is spliced from 2 exons.
GGUUUCUGUCGGCUCUAGGGUCCUGUUACAGCCGUCCCUUUCGGCAGGGGCGGCCCUUCGGUCAGAGCUGGGCGAAGCUCCCCUCCCGUCUUGGCCAACCUCUACACAGCGGUCUGGACCGGCCAUCUUAUUUUCUCAGGAAUUCUAGCUGUCCAUCUCCGUUACCGUCCUCAAUUCGUCUUUUCUUUUUGCAUUGUUCCCAUACUCGGUUCAUUCUCCAGUGAGGCAGUGAUCAGGAAUUGGGGCCACACAAGAGCAGGGAUUGCCUUAUUCUUCUAUGUAAACGCCAGCCUCAGGCAGGAUGACUAAAGUGAAAAUAUGAGUUCUGUUUCUUAACGGUAACUAUAGGUGACUCACUCAGCUGUGAUCUAAAACAUGUUAUAAAGAGAGUGUGUGGCAGGGGCUUCCCUGGUGGCGCAGUGGUUAAGAGUCCACCUGCUAAUGCAGGGGACACGAAUUUGAGCCCUGGUCCGGGAAGAUCCCACAUGCGGCGGAGCACCUAAGCCCGUGCGCCACAGCUACUGAGCCUGCGCUCUAGAGCCCCUGAGCCACAACUACUGAAGUCCUCGUGCGUAGAGCCCGUGCUCCUCAACAAGAGAAGACAGCGUAAUGAGAAGCCCACACACCGCAAUGAAGCGUAGCCCCUGCUCAGCACAGCUAGAGAAAGCUCUUGCGCAGCAACGAAGACCCAACACAGCAAUAAAUAAAUAAGGGUGAAUCCAGGCAAAGACUGGCGACAGACCACCCUAGCCUUACCAGGGAGUUUGCUGUCUUCUUAUCCCCCUGAGAUCUCUGCUCCUCUCCAGAUUUUCUCAACUCCUUCAGAUGCCCCAGCUGCUUCUGAAUUUGUUCCUGGAAAAAAAGAGCACUUGUCAAAGCUUGAACUUGGCUCCUGCCAUUUUGGUGCCAACUCUAGAUGGGAAAACUUGCUUCAGGGAAUAAAGCUGAGGGUGAGGCAGCCAAGAGCACAGGGAGAGGUACCCAGGAAAGAGGAAGAAUGAAUCCAUCACACCAAAGGAAGCAGAACCAAGAGGCAGUGAGAAAGAUUUCUAAUGACCUCUUGUGAGCACCUGGAUUCAGCCAUACCUGAAGCUAGAUUCCCAUAGACCUCUGAGCUACAUGAACCAGUAAAUCCCUCUUUGCUGGCUUGCUUUGUAUUGUGUUUGCCAUUUACAGCCCAAAGAUGCUGGCCAAUGCACCAACUCCCAGGGUUUUGGGGGAAAUGAAGCAAGCCCCGAUGUGUUCAAGUGCCCAGCAGAGAAGGACCCCAAAGCAGGAAGCCCUACCUUGUAUUCCAGGGCGGCCUCCUCGAUGGGGCGAACCCGGUGGCCUCGGUGCUCCUGACUCAGCCCGCAGAUGAGGCAGAUGGGUUCCCCGUGGUCCUCGCAGAAGAGCAGCUGGACCUGCUUCAUGUGACGCUCACACUGUGGCAGGGACUUGGGGCUCAGGCUGGCCAUCUGCAGGCCCUCCUGCCACUCGAGGCUUCCAUGGCUCUCCCCCGGGAGCAAGUCCUGGCACCGAGGGCAGCUGGAUGAGUGGCCGCGUGAGGCCUCAGGAUCCCUAGAAGCAACGGAGCAGCUGCAGGAAACAUGCACGCAGCUGCCACCAACCGGGUCUCCUUCCUGGACACGGCAAAGGGGACACACAGCCUUGUCCUGCGGCCUCCCUGGGGACAUAGCAGUGGAAAAAUCUCAUGAGUGACAAACCCAAGAUGUUACCAAGGAAUGCUGCAAAUCACAGCUUAGCGAGAGUCCGUGCCUGGGAUACGUACAUUCUCGGUUAGACUGAGGCCUCUCCCUAGCUUGUCCUCCCCCGACUUCCCUCCAGCAAGGUAGCAAAGGAGCCACUGGGACUGAGGGCUAAGCGCUAGAUCUCAUACCAGUCCUGAGGAUUGGAAUUCUUGGGCAUUUAUCCUAAAGAAAGGCCUUUUGCUACAAAUUCUAUGCCUUCCUCCUGCACGUACACUGAUACAGGUGAUAUAAAGAUAGUAAGACAUUCUGACUGGUGUUUGCCACUUAACCACCACCUAGACUGCUCAUAACUUGCGUAGGGCUCCCAAGGGAUGAUGACUCGCUCAUGGCCAGACCCCCAGCCCCUAGCAGAAUCCCUGGCAUGUGGUGAGCAUUUGGGAAGUGCGUGUUGAAUGAAGGAAUGAAUGGGCCACUGCUCACAUCCAGAUUCAGGAAGCAUGAAGUGAAAGUAAAGAAGGGGACUUUACAAGACUGAAGGGUAUAGCCCACCGUGAUGACCUACAGCUGUGACCAGCUCUGCCCCAAGACCAUAGCACAGAUUCAUAAAGCAGAAAUGACAGGAGAUACAGGAGGAAUAGAAACGUACUCAAUCCACGAGUCCCCUCCUGCCACCUCCUCUCGCAGGGUCCCAGGAAUUCAUAUCACAUCUGCAAGUGAGACUGCGAGCUCCCCAGUGACCGUUUUCCCCUCCUUCCCUUGUGAUAGCAUUGAUUGCUGUCCAUAUGGCUGUUCCCCGCCCCCUCCCCCCAAAAAACUACAUUUCUUAGCUUCCCUUGCAGUUAGAUGUGGUCAUGUGACUCCAGACACACCUCACUUCAUUGCACUUCACUUUAUUGCCCUUCACAGACUUCAUUUUUUACAAAAUGAAGGUUUGUGGCAACCCUGUGUUGUCAGAUGAUGGUGAACAUUUUUUAGCAAUAAAGUUUCUUUUUUUUUGCAAUAAAGUAUAUUUAAGUUAA